AUACUGUGGUAUCUGUCCGAGUUGUUGGAAGGCAGCGUUCCUCCACAGAUGCCAGGCCGUCUUCCUCCAGGUGUUGUUGGAGUCGGUGAUGCUGCUCCACAGGCCGGACUCCAUGUAGGAUGAAUACUGUGCAGCAGGGAUCUUAUCAGCUCUAAACACACAAAAGCGCUUCAAUGAAACUCAUUCGAGCAUCGACUUUCACAGGAAGCUGCAAAUAAAUGACAGUUCAUGCAUGUCAUGCAACAAAAACAACCUCACACAUGAGAAUGCACAGAAGAAUAUCAGGAGAGAUGG
Oreochromis aureus is the source of this 294-nucleotide long non-coding RNA. RefSeq lists it as uncharacterized. The transcript is spliced from 3 exons. Lineage: Eukaryota; Metazoa; Chordata; Actinopteri; Cichliformes; Cichlidae. The record is from RefSeq and is a predicted model, not a curated record.